AUCCGCCUGCGCUGUUGGUGAUAGGAAUGUAUAUUUUUUGAGCCUAAAGCUUUUUACGGGAUCCCAAUAUUUGGCUGCAAUGGUCACGCCCCUUACGGGGAAGACCUGAUCAUCCGUGCGGGAACCCACCUGGUAAUCAGGUUCAAAAAGCUUUCCUACACGGCAGCGCGGACAUUAU
Molecule: non-coding RNA, 178 nt
Filed under: Spirochaetes bacterium RBG_16_49_21
Lineage: Bacteria; Pseudomonadati; Spirochaetota
Description: 6S RNA
Rfam family: 6S / SsrS RNA
About the family: E. coli 6S RNA was the first non coding RNA to be sequenced, but its function was unknown until recently. It consists of 184 nucleotides that fold into an extended hairpin structure with a large single-stranded internal bulge.
Source: RNAcentral